RNAcentral lists this ribosomal RNA (253 nucleotides) under uncultured bacterium. Its description in RNAcentral is "partial 16S ribosomal RNA". It matches the Rfam family "Bacterial small subunit ribosomal RNA", at positions 524 to 776 of the family's 1533-position model. The record is from RNAcentral.
UACGUAGGUGGCAAGCGUUGUCCGGAAUUAUUGGGCGUAAAGCGCGCGCAGGCGGUCCUUUAAGUCUGAUGUGAAGGCCCACGGCUCAACCGUGGAGGGUCAUUGGAAACUGGGGGACUUGAGUGCAGAAGAGGAGAGUGGAAUUCCACGUGUAGCGGUGAAAUGCGUAGAGAUGUGGAGGAACACCAGUGGCGAAGGCGACUCUCUGGUCUGUAACUGACGCUGAGGCGCGAAAGCGUGGGGAGCAGACAGG